GCACUUAUAGCUCAGUUGGUUAGAGCACCCGUUUGGUAAGCGGGAGGUCUCCAGUUCGAAUCUGGAUAAGUGCACCA
Molecule: transfer RNA, 77 nt
Filed under: Chlamydomonas reinhardtii
Lineage: Eukaryota; Viridiplantae; Chlorophyta; Chlorophyceae; Chlamydomonadales; Chlamydomonadaceae
Description: tRNA-Thr
Rfam family: tRNA
About the family: Transfer RNA (tRNA) molecules are approximately 80 nucleotides in length. Their secondary structure includes four short double-helical elements and three loops (D, anti-codon, and T loops).
Source: RNAcentral